This 73-nucleotide transfer RNA is filed under the name Candidatus Alcyoniella australis. RNAcentral's name for it is "tRNA-Lys". It matches the Rfam family "tRNA". Rfam says of the family: Transfer RNA (tRNA) molecules are approximately 80 nucleotides in length. Their secondary structure includes four short double-helical elements and three loops (D, anti-codon, and T loops). Lineage: Bacteria; Candidatus Lernaellota; Candidatus Lernaellaia; Candidatus Lernaellales; Candidatus Alcyoniellaceae. The record is from RNAcentral.
GGGCCGUUAGCUCAGUUGGUAGAGCAGCGGACUUUUAAUCCGCAGGUCGCAGGUUCGAUCCCUGCACGGCUCA